This 971-nucleotide ribosomal RNA is filed under the name Cylicostephanus minutus. RNAcentral's name for it is "large subunit ribosomal RNA". Lineage: Eukaryota; Metazoa; Nematoda; Chromadorea; Rhabditida; Strongylidae. The record is from RNAcentral.
UAUAAAGGUAAAAUUGUUUAUUUAUAGGUAUUGCAUAUCAAUUAAAGAAAAUUUUAUAGUUUAUAAAAUAUAAAAUUAAAAGGUAGAAAUUUUAAUAUUUUUAUUGUUUCAUAAUAAAAAUUAUAAAAUUUAGGGUUGAAAAGUCGACUUUUAAGAUAUUUGUGUAAUGGUAAUUUAUUAGAAAUUUAUAUUUAAAAAAUAAAAUAAUAUAAAAAGUAUAAGUUGAAGUAUUUUUAAGAUUAGUUUUAUAACUAUUUAUGUGUUUUAUAUUUAUAUAGUUUAUUGGUAAAAUUUAUUAAAAUGUUUAAUAAUUAUAUUAUUUUAAUAUAAGUAAUUUUUAAAAUUAUUUGCAAUUAUUUAAUUUAACAAGAUAACUAAAUAAUUAAUCAAAUGUUUUUUAAAGACUUAGACUUUUAAAUAAAGUUUGCUUCUGCCCAAUGAAUAUUUUUAAAUGGCAGUCUUAGCGUGAGGACAUUAAGGUAGCAAAAUAAUUUGUGCUUUUAUUGAGUUCCAGUAUGAAUGAAGUUAUUGGUUAGUUAUCUUUUUGUUUUGUUUAUGAAUUUAAUUUAAUAUAAAAAAAUAUUGUUGUAGUAAUACAAAGAUAAGUCUUCGGAAAUUCUUUUUUAAAAUUGAUAAAAUUUAGUCAAUUUUAAAAAUUUUCUAGGGCAGAAUUUUAUAUAAUUGGUUAUUCUAUUUAUAAUUAUAAGAAUUACUCCGGAGUUAACAGAAAAUCAUACCUAAUCUAGUUCUUAUAGUAAGGUAAGUUUUACAUCGAUGUUGUAUUUAAGUUUAUUAAAAARGGAGAAGAUUUAAUUUUUGAGACUGUUCUUCUUUUAAUUAAUUUAACGUGAUAUUAGUUUAAUUCAUUGUGAGAUAGAAUUGUUUAUCUUGAUUAUUAUUAAUUUGUAGUUUUAAUAGUACGAAAGGAAAAUUAAAAAAAGUUUUAAACUUUUAAAAGAAAAAUUUUUCUU